UCUCCGGUGUCGGGAGACAUGUUAAUGGUUCUCUAAAGAAAUUCGGAGUGAAAAAACGUUGAAGCAGGUGUUGGAUGUGGUGUUGGGUUCAGCCAUGGUUUUGGAAUAGGACUUGCCUUGAAGCCUGGAGUUAUUCAGCGGGUUCAAUCUUCUAUUGCUCUAACAAUGGCUAAAAUCAUGAUGCGUUUGGGAAUUGCUCCCAAGAUCCCUUCAACUCAGAAUAUCAAGCCUGGGUCAUUUCCUAGUAAAAGUGCUCAAUCCUCAAUUGGCAGUGUACUAAAUUUGGGAACAAAAACUA
Molecule: long non-coding RNA, 298 nt
Organism: Dioscorea cayenensis subsp. rotundata (Guinea yam)
Lineage: Eukaryota; Viridiplantae; Streptophyta; Magnoliopsida; Dioscoreales; Dioscoreaceae
Exons: 4
Source: RefSeq, a predicted model, not a curated record